Molecule: small RNA, 82 nt
Rfam family: Actinobacteria sRNA Ms_AS-4
Source: Rfam
CUUGGCGCUGGCGUAGCGGCCUGCCGCGUCGCCGAACUCUGCGAGCACCCGGGCGCCGAGGAUGACGCCGAUGCCGGGCUGG